Non-coding RNA from Equus caballus (horse), 8306 nucleotides. NCBI's taxonomy places the organism in Eukaryota, Metazoa, Chordata, Mammalia, Perissodactyla, Equidae. The record is from RefSeq and is a predicted model, not a curated record.
CCCCUCCCCGGGCUCCCCCACGCUCCGUGCCUGCAGGAGCCCCAGGACUUCCCCGGAGGAGCUCACCCCAAGGGGCCCGGACCCCGGCGAGCCCGCCACCGUCCCCUCCAGCGCCUCCGCCACCACCGCAGCAGCCGGAGCAGCAUGGUCCAGCUGGGGAAGCUGCUCCGCGUCCUGACUUUGAUGAAGUUCCCCUGCUGCGUGCUGGAGGUGCUCCUGUGUGCGCUGGCGGCGGCGGCGCGCGGCCAGGAGAUGUACGCCCCGCACUCUAUCCGGAUCGAGGGGGACGUCACCCUCGGGGGGCUGUUCCCCGUGCACGCCAAGGGUCCCAGCGGAGUGCCCUGCGGCGACAUCAAGAGGGAGAACGGGAUCCACAGGCUGGAAGCGAUGCUCUACGCCCUGGACCAGAUCAACAGCGAUCCCAACCUGCUGCCCAACGUGACGCUGGGCGCGCGGAUCCUAGAUACUUGUUCCAGGGACACUUACGCGCUCGAACAGUCGCUCACUUUCGUUCAGGCGCUUAUCCAGAAGGACACCUCCGACGUGCGCUGCACCAACGGCGAGCCUCCGGUUUUCGUCAAGCCGGAGAAAGUAGUUGGAGUGAUUGGGGCUUCCGGGAGUUCGGUCUCCAUCAUGGUAGCCAACAUCCUGAGGCUUUUCCAGAUCCCCCAGAUUAGUUAUGCAUCAACGGCACCUGAGUUAAGUGACGACCGGCGCUAUGACUUCUUCUCUCGAGUGGUCCCACCCGAUUCCUUCCAAGCCCAGGCUAUGGUAGACAUUGUAAAGGCCCUAGGCUGGAAUUAUGUGUCUACUCUCGCAUCUGAAGGAAGUUAUGGAGAGAAAGGUGUGGAAUCCUUCACGCAGAUUUCCAAAGAGGCAGGUGGGCUCUGCAUUGCCCAGUCCGUGAGAAUCCCCCAAGAGCGCAAAGACAGGACCAUUGACUUUGAUAGAAUUAUCAAACAGCUCCUGGACACCCCCAACUCCAGGGCCGUCGUGAUUUUUGCCAACGAUGAGGAUAUAAAGCAGAUCCUUGCAGCAGCCAAAAGAGCUGACCAAGUGGGUCAUUUUCUUUGGGUGGGAUCAGACAGCUGGGGAUCCAAAAUAAAUCCACUGCACCAGCAUGAAGAUAUUGCAGAAGGAGCCAUCACCAUUCAGCCCAAGCGAGCAACUGUGGAAGGGUUUGAUGCCUACUUUACAUCCCGCACACUUGAAAACAACAGAAGAAACGUGUGGUUUGCCGAAUACUGGGAAGAAAACUUCAACUGCAAGCUGACGAUUAGUGGGUCAAAGAAAGAAGACACAGAUCGCAAAUGCACAGGACAGGAGAGAAUUGGGAAAGAUUCCAACUAUGAACAGGAGGGUAAAGUUCAGUUUGUGAUUGACGCAGUCUAUGCUAUGGCCCAUGCCCUUCAUCACAUGAACAAGGAUCUCUGUGCUGACUACCGGGGUGUCUGUCCAGAGAUGGAGCAGGCUGGGGGCAAGAAGUUGUUGAAGUACAUCCGCAACGUUAAUUUCAACGGUAGCGCUGGCACCCCAGUAAUGUUUAAUAAGAAUGGAGAUGCACCUGGGCGUUAUGACAUCUUUCAGUACCAGAUGACAAACACCACCAACCCUGGUUACCGUCUGAUUGGACAGUGGACAGAUGAACUUCAGCUCAACAUAGAGGACAUGCAGUGGGGUAAAGGACUCCGGGAGAUCCCGGCCUCAGUGUGUACACUGCCAUGCAAGCCUGGCCAAAGAAAGAAGACGCAAAAGGGAACUCCUUGCUGCUGGACCUGUGAGCCUUGCGAUGGCUACCAGUACCAGUUUGAUGAGAUGACGUGCCAGCAUUGUCCCUAUGAUCAGCGGCCCAAUGAAAACCGAACUGGCUGCCAGGAUAUCCCCAUCAUCAAACUGGAGUGGCAUUCCCCCUGGGCAGUUAUCCCUGUCUUCCUAGCAAUGUUGGGGAUCAUUGCCACCAUCUUUGUUAUGGCGACUUUCAUCCGCUACAACGACACACCCAUCGUCCGGGCAUCGGGGCGGGAACUGAGUUAUGUUUUAUUGACAGGCAUCUUUCUUUGCUACAUCAUCACUUUCCUGAUGAUAGCCAAACCUGAUGUGGCAGUGUGUUCUUUCCGGAGAGUUUUCUUGGGCUUGGGCAUGUGCAUCAGUUAUGCAGCCCUCUUGACAAAAACCAAUCGGAUUUAUCGCAUAUUUGAACAGGGCAAGAAAUCAGUAACAGCUCCCAGACUCAUAAGUCCAACAUCACAGCUGGCAAUCACCUCCAGUUUAAUAUCAGUUCAGCUUCUAGGUGUUUUCAUUUGGUUUGGUGUCGAUCCACCCAACAUCAUCAUAGACUAUGAUGAACAUAAGACAAUGAACCCUGAGCAGGCCAGGGGUGUUCUCAAAUGUGACAUUACAGAUCUCCAAAUCAUUUGCUCCUUGGGAUAUAGCAUUCUUCUCAUGGUCACAUGUACUGUGUAUGCCAUCAAGACUCGGGGUGUCCCAGAGAAUUUUAAUGAAGCUAAGCCCAUUGGAUUCACUAUGUACACAACAUGUAUAGUAUGGCUUGCCUUCAUUCCAAUUUUUUUUGGCACUGCGCAGUCAGCGGAAAAGCUCUACAUACAAACCACCACGCUUACAAUCUCCAUGAACCUAAGUGCAUCAGUGGCGCUGGGGAUGCUGUACAUGCCGAAAGUGUACAUCAUCAUUUUCCACCCUGAACUCAAUGUGCAGAAACGGAAGCGAAGCUUCAAGGCGGUAGUCACAGCAGCCACCAUGUCAUCGCGGCUGUCACACAAACCCAGUGACAGACCCAACGGUGAGGCAAAGACAGAACUCUGUGAAAACGUAGACCCAAACAACUGCAUACCACCAGUAAGAAAGAGUGUACAAAAGUCUGUUACUUGGUACACUAUUCCACCAACAGUAUAGCUUUUGCCUGCUUUCCAAAAGGUAAGAAACAAUCUAAUUUUUAUUUAUUUGUGUGUUGUCUCCACUGAGAAUUAAAAAUGUUUUCAUGAAAACUCUGCAUGAUUACCUGUAAAUCUAUUCACAUGAAGAAACGUGUUUUCAAAGAUGAGCUGUUUGUUAAGCGUAGUGCAGACAGCUGUUAAGGGUCACGUGCCUGGUUUAUUCUCUGGAGAACAUGUGUAUAGCGUGUGCACGUUUGUCUUUCCGGAACAAGUAGUCAAUGGUGGCAGAAUUGGUGCUGGCCAUUCUGGUCCAUAGUUUACUUUAAAAAUACCAGUGAUGAGAGAUUAUUUUUAAAUGGAUGUUUUCACAUUCUGGUUUUAGAAGGCAAUGUGGAAAACUUAUAAGGAGAGAAGGGGGACGUUUUACAAGCCUAGUAAAAAUGUUUUUUCUGGUUCAUUUAUUAAAUAUUUCUAAUAAAUAAUAUCACUUUUUUAUUAAAUGUCAUUCCUAGAAAUGUGUUCAUUCAAAAAACAAUGAAUGGCCUUCCCAUCUUAAACCCAAAAUGACCUUGGAUCCUUCUUUUCAGCAAAGAAAGAGAAAGCGUUUGCUGGCUCUGCUUGAUAAUGUGUUGAAGAUGGUUUGUGGCUCAUAGUUCUGCCUUAGAGAAACACUGAACCAAGUUCAGUCAUUUCACAGAACAGGGAACAGUUUAAUGAAAGGCCACAAGAGUCAGAGAUGAGUUUCAACAUUAUUCAAACCCAAGAAUUACCAAUAAAUACCAAGAGUAUUCAAACUAAUAGCUUAGAAGAAAUAGUGGAUUGGGAGGAGUGUGAACUAGACACAAGAAUGGACUGGCAUAAGAAUUCUAAUUGAUUUGCCAUUGAUGCCUACAGAUUAUCUGGGGCUCUCACUAAACGAUAUAAAGUUAUGAAAGAAUAAUAGUAAUAUUAUUAUUAUCAUCUCCCUGUUUCAGCCUAAGAAAUAUAAUAUAGUGGAAAACAACACUUGCUUUGGCAAACAUCUUUGUCCAGCUGGGAACAGGGCAUUCCAAACUGUGGGAAAAUAAACAGUAGAAAACAUGGAGGGGAGUUAUUAAAAUCAUGCAGUUGCUUUGAAUAAAAGAUUCCCUUUGAUUUCCUCCGGACCUCUUAUUGUGCUUAUAAAGUAGAUAAAAAAAACCUAUCUCUAGAGUGACUCCAAGAGAGAGAAAGCAGAGAGGUCACAUUGGGUUUGGGGGUGGGGGUGGAAAUAUUGCUUCACAAUGUGGGCUAGUCUCACUUUCCUAUGUUGCUAACAUGGAUCUUUUUAUCACAUCUUUGCUGUGUUUCUUUGCAUCUUUGUUUUUGUAAUAGUAUUCUGAGUACAAAUAAUAUCUCGCUCUUUCCAUAUCCAUUUAGCACUGUAACACAGGACAAGAGUACUUUCAAGGAGUAAUUACGUUUCCUGUUGAUUUUAGACGGAUGCCAGCAACAGAGUCUUUAAUUUCGGAUGUAUUGUUCACAUGGUUAUUUCCUUUCCCAUAUCAACAUGAUCUGUCCUAGUUUCUAAAUAGGCCAUUCUUUUCUCCCCAUGAAUAUAUAACUGUAUUCCAGUGACAUCUCAAGUUUUUGCAGUACAGUGCUUGUCAAAACACUGCAGCUCAUCAUUUUAAUAGUCCUUUUACAUGCAACUGCCUGAGAAUAAAUGAGAAGGAAUUUUCCCUGGGUAAAAACGAUAGAUUUAAUCUCAACCCAUUAAAUAUUCUCUUUAGCUCCAUUCUAAGUUGAUACCUCUUGGUUUAAAGGGUGUAAAAAUAAUAUGUAAGUCAAUCUUUCAGUUAAAAAAUUACUUUCAGGAUGUGCUGUUUAGAAAUAAACUUAAACUUUUUGCUAGGAUUGUCUUGUUUCAAAGAUUUUGAUUAGGUGCUUUCCCUUUCUGCCAGUGUUAAGGUGUCUUGACAACUUAAUGAGAAACAUCUCAUACAGCUCCUUGAAAAAUAAUAAGAAUAGAAGUUGGUCUAAGUCACAUGUAUUCAAAGAAGGAAGGGGUUUACCUUGUUCAGGUUACGAUGAGACUGGAAAGCUUGGACGAGCAGUGAAAGAAGGUGCUAAAUGUAUGUUCGAAUCCACUUCUAUGUGGUUGUUUUCAAGAGACGAAACAGUAAAGAAAAACCUAUAGAUUCAAGAGUGAAUGUUUGUACUACUCAAGUAAAACUUCGAUUUCAGCCACCGUGCCCCAAUGGUGGCACACUAUAUAGAGCAAAUCAUUCUGCUUGUGGGGGUUGAAGAGGCGGGUUCAAAUUCAAACAAAACAGAAUGCAACCUGCUUUGAAAAUGCCUUCCAUAUACUGCCUGCCGUUAAGAGCAUUCUCCUUUGACAAACAUGACAGGCCGGACAUUGGCUGAGUCAACACUGCCUACAACUUUUGUUUGAAUGUUGAGAAAUUUUAAAACUCCGCAGAGUGUUAUCAAUUUAAUGACGUGCACUUUAAAAUGCAAUUAAGCAACAAAAGUGCAAUUAAUCUGGCAUUGUCAUCAGGUCAGGAAAACAAGUUGUUUUGUUAGGAGGUAAAUUUUCACACCACAGGAUGGAGUUCUCAUUAAAAAACUUUAAGAGUCUAACUCAGCCUUGCAAAUAUGGACAUUUAACAGUGGAGUCAUUUUUUUACAAGAUAUCUGCUUCUGAGAAAGUACAUUGGUUGUAAUAUUGUUGCCAUUUCACUAAUGUAUUAAAUGAUGUUGUAAAAAAAUUGGUAAUCUCUUGUUUGUUAAAAUUACUAUAAUGAGGUUAUUUCACAUUUUCAAGCUUUCUAGAACUGUGCGAUCCAAGGUUUUCUGUCAUUUUGAGACUCUCCCUCCUCUGUAACAUUCAAUGUGAUGUCUCGGAGUUAACUGGAGACUCCCUCAAUGUAAAAACUAUUUUGAAGCACUCUAUAAGUAUAGCAUAGCAAAGAAUAUAUGUUAUCUGACCUUUGACAUGAAUCGCCUUAGAAAUAACUGCAGCUAUAAAUCUUUUUGGCAUAUUUCUUUCUGCCUAAAAGAUCUGCGAAAUACCAUCAUUUCUCUUAUCAGGGGUUGAUAUCUCAGCAUCCUCAGAAACCAAUUAAUAUUUGCCAUCUCAGUUCUGCAACUUCAGUUCAACUUAAAGAAGGGGAUAAAAGUUCCCGUGGCAGGAUUUCUACUAUUUCUUAGCAUAAAAGAAACAUACACAUCAUGCCCCAAAGUCAUGAAAACCAUGCCAAGGUUUACAUUUAAGCAUGUCACCACCACAUCUGGGUAGGAUUUAUGAACUGCAAGAGUAUUCUGAAGUUGGGUCAAUCAAAGAAACAUUUAUCAAGCACCUCUCCUAUGGGCCAGCCCUGAACUUACUAGGAAUGAGGGACAGAAGUGGACAGAAGUGGACAAUAUCAUCAGGGAGCCCAGAUCUGAUGGAAGGCUUGAAGGUAAGCAAUUAUAAUUCAGAGUGACAGGGGCUCUUAGAAGAGAUCUGUACCAAGUGCUACCAAGCUACAUGUGGAGAACAUCACCCAGGAGGUUGUGUCUGAGUUGGUCUUAGCAGAUGAAGGAGUCUAGGCAGCCACAAAGACAAGACACUCAAGGCAGGAAACAAGUAUGCACAAAGAACCUGGAGUACAGAAGAAUGUGGUAUGUCUUGGGACUAGAAAGCAGUUCGGUGAAGCUGAAGUGUUGUGUUUUGAGGCAAACGGUUUCAGGAGAUGACACAUAGGAAGCAGCCAGGGCGUAAAGGGAACUAGUUGCCUUUAUCUCUGUGCCUUUAGCAGAGGGCCUGACUAAUACUAGGUUCUCAGAGACUACACACGGGAUGACUGCAGUGCACUACCUCACAGACCAAAGGCACCUAGCCUUCCCUAGAACGUAGUACCUACACAGUGAAUAUCAAAUAAGUAAUUAUUUAUUAAUAAUAAAAAAAAUCAAGUCUACAGCCUCAGCAAGUGGAAUUAUAUUCUCACAGAUAAAACUUCCAGGGUCACAAAGACUGCCCCGAAAAGGCAAUUUUUGACCCUGAUGUCACAGAUUUCAAAACUACGAUGUAGUUUUUAUGUACAACCUUAAAACUGACAGCCAGUGCCACAUCCGCACUUGCGUAAUGUCUCUUUUGAUGAGCUAAACCCAUGUGUAAAACCAAGACAAUGUUAUGCUGAUCUCUCCUUUCAUGGACCAAGAGCAUCUAUACUGCUUUUCUUUCAAAGGGCAUGUGAACUUCAAAGUUACCAUUGGAAAGAGAUCCUACGCACUUGCUUUAAAUGGUUAUAUAGCUUCUAAUUUGAUAAAAACAUAAACAACCACUUCGGUGGUUUUCUGAUUGUUAAGUGCAUUUUCUUAGAGACUGGCAUUCAAGACAGAUUUUGUCUUUUAGGCCCCAAGUUUGCAUUUGAAAAGAAAACAGCGUGUGCCCUAAAACAAGGUCAGUUAAUCUCUACAAUCUUUCUUCCUCCCAAUUACUGUGAAUGAGCAUCUUCUCAGAACUCAAGUGACCAUGACUCUCCUUUCUGCCUACUAAAGACCUGUCUCAGCUUCGCAGAUUUUUUUUUUCGGCUGUACAAUGGAACUUGGAUGCAUUUUAAAUUAACUUUCUCUAGGAAUCAAAGAGUAACCUCUGAGGACCCAAGCUUGUGCAAAGAGGAUGGAGGAAAGCCUCCAAAGUCUGUUCUUACUGAGCUGGCCCAAACACUUAGAAGAAUAUGACCGGAAUCAGCAAUCCCACUUUCUGUGAAAAGUGCAAACACACCUGACCACCUGCACUGGCGUACAGUCCAGCGAUUGGCCAAGGCAAGUGUCUUUUUGCAUCCUUCUAAGCAUCCUGAGGAAGCUUUGCUACCUAGCCCACCAAUGAAUUUAAUGAACGGAGGAGGCCUUGUCCAGGUUCCAGGACGAGCUUAGUCCUGGUGGUGCUCAUCGAAUACCAGCAAUGUCCUCUCAAUAUUCCAAAAUAAGGAGAAAUUACACUAAAAAAGUCUUGAGGCUUUGGCCCAUUAGAGCAUUUUCCAGGGGCUUCAUUUACGAAAGACAUCAAUGCCACCAAAUGAGGGAGAGGUCCCUACUGUGAUCUACUGGGAUACAACCUUAAGAAAGCCAGUCUCUUUUUGGGUACUGGAUUUUCAGUGUGUUCUGAGUCAAGUUGCCGGUUCAGUAACAUCAAUGGGGGCUCCUAUCCGACUCCCAUCUAAAGGAAAAUAAAGUGAAAUAGGGGAUCAACGGGUGAGACUCUAUCAUUCCUGCCAAGCAGGCAAAAUGCUGACUCUUUAGAAAAGAUCACCUCUCUGUGCCUCAGUUCCCUCGUCUGUAACAUACAACCUCACAUGGUGGUUGUGAGGACUAAAGAGUAAAGCCCUUAGAAUAGAGUUUGUCACAGUAGCUGUUCAAAUGCUAGCCAUCAGUGUUGCUGUUACGUCACCUAAAGUUAAUAUAUUU